This 937-nucleotide ribosomal RNA is filed under the name Rhizochaete sp. RNAcentral's name for it is "partial large subunit ribosomal RNA". It matches the Rfam family "Eukaryotic large subunit ribosomal RNA", at positions 38 to 961 of the family's 3401-position model. Lineage: Eukaryota; Fungi; Basidiomycota; Agaricomycetes; Polyporales; Phanerochaetaceae. The record is from RNAcentral.
GCAUAUCAAUAAGCGGAGGAAAAGAAACUAACAAGGAUUCCCUAGUAACUGCGAGUGAACCGGGAAAAGCUCAAAUUUAAAAUCUGAUAGUCUUUGGCUGUCCGAGUUGUAAUCUGGAGAAGCGUCUUCCGCGCUGGACCGUGUACAAGUCUCUUGGAACAGAGCGUCAUAGAGGGUGAGAAUCCCGUCUUUGACACGGACUACCAGUGCUUUGUGAUGCGCUCUCAAAGAGUCGAGUUGUUUGGGAAUGCAGCUCAAAAUGGGUGGUAAAUUCCAUCUAAAGCUAAAUAUUGGCGAGAGACCGAUAGCGAACAAGUACCGUGAGGGAAAGAUGAAAAGCACUUUGGAAAGAGAGUUAAACAGUACGUGAAAUUGCUGAAAGGGAAACGCUUGAAGUCAGUCGCGUUCGCUAGUACUCAGCCUGUCUUUUGAUUGGUGCAUUUACUUGUGAACGGGCCAGCAUCAGUUUUGGCUGCGGGAUAAAGAUCAGAGGAAUGUGGCACCCUCGGGUGUGUUUAUAGCCUUUGGUCAUAUACCGCGGCUGGGACUGAGGAUCUCAGCACGCCUUUAUGGCGGGGGUUCGCCCACCUUCGUGCUUAGGAUGCUGGCGUAAUGGCUUUAAACGACCCGUCUUGAAACACGGACCAAGGAGUCUAACAUGCCUGCGAGUGUUUGGGUGGUAAACCCGAGCGCGUAAUGAAAGUAAAAGUUGGGACCUCUGUCGUGGAGGGCACCGACGCCCGGACCAGACCUUCUGUGACGGAUCCGCGGUAGAGCAUGUAUGUUGGGACCCGAAAGAUGGUGAACUAUGCCUGAAUAGGGUGAAGCCAGAGGAAACUCUGGUGGAGGCUCGUAGCGAUUCUGACGUGCAAAUCGAUCGUCAAAUUUGGGUAUAGGGGCGAAAGACUAAUCGAACCAUCUAGUAGCUGGUUCCUGC